This 812-nucleotide ribosomal RNA is filed under the name Helictopleurus steineri. RNAcentral describes it as "SSU rRNA". It matches the Rfam family "Eukaryotic small subunit ribosomal RNA", at positions 477 to 1254 of the family's 1831-position model. The record is from RNAcentral. Lineage: Eukaryota; Metazoa; Arthropoda; Insecta; Coleoptera; Scarabaeidae.
CGAUACGGGACUCAUCCGAGGCCCCGUAAUCGGAAUGAGUACACUCUAAACCCUUUAACGAGGAUCAAUUGGAGGGCAAGUCUGGUGCCAGCAGCCGCGGUAACACCAGCUCCAAUAGCGUAUAUUAAAGUUGUUGCGGUUAAAAAGCUCGUAGUCGAAUUUGUGUCCCGCGCCGCCGGUUCAUCGCUCGCGGUGUUAACUGGCGUGUCCGCGGGACGUCCUGCCGGUGGGCUUAGCUUUCGGGCGGCCCAAUCUCAAUCCCACCGCGGUGCUCUUUACUGAGUGUCGAGGUGGGCCGGCACGUUUACUUUGAACAAAUUAGAGUGCUUAAAGCAGGCUAAAAUAUCGCCUGAAUACUGUGUGCAUGGAAUAAUGGAAUAGGACCUCGGUUCUAUUUUGUUGGUUUUCGGAACCCCGAGGUAAUGAUUAAUAGGAACGGAUGGGGGCAUUCGUAUUGCGACGUUAGAGGUGAAAUUCUUGGAUCGUCGCAAGACGGACAGAAGCGAAAGCAUUUGCCAAAAACGUUUUCAUUGAUCAAGAACGAAAGUUAGAGGUUCGAAGGCGAUCAGAUACCGCCCUAGUUCUAACCAUAAACGAUGCCAGCUAGCGAUCCGCCGACGUUCCUCCGAUGACUCGGCGGGCAGCUUCCGGGAAACCAAAGCUUUUGGGAUCCGGGGGAAGUAUGGUUGCAAAGCUGAAACUUAAAGGAAUUGACGGAAGGGCACCACCAGGAGUGGAGCCUGCGGCUUAAUUUGACUCAACACGGGAAACCUCACCAGGCCCGGACACCGGAAGGAUUGACAGAUUGAGAG